CCCAAUUCCCUUAGCUCGGGUCCUUUUCCAGCAUACCCGGAAGCUACAGAGAUGGAGAGAGAGGAACAGAACAAACAAACAAUGCGCUCAUCCACAACAUUGAUAAAGUUCCCAGUUGUCUUGAAAGCACCAUAAAUCCAGAUAAUGCCAGACUUUGAUGCCCACGAAGGACCUCCAUGCCACCUUCCUGUUCAAGUGAGAAAAGCACAACAAGGAGGGGUGCGUUACUUGAGUGUGUUGAGUCACUGACGUGAUCUUCCUGUCUGGGUUGGCGCCGCCCCUUGGGUUGUGCCGUAACGGAGAUCUUUGUGGGCUAUACUCAACCUUGUCUCAGAAUGGUAAGUUGCUGGUUGAAGAUAUCCCUCUAGUGGUGUGGGGGCUGUGCUUUGGCAAAGUGCGUGGGGUUAUAUCCUGCCUGUUUGGCCCUGUCUAGGGGGUAUCAUUGGGAUGGGGCCACAGUGUCUCCUGACCCCUCCUGUCUCAGCCUCCAGUAUUUAUGCUGCAGUAGUUUAUGUGUCGGGGGGGCUAGGGUCAGUCUGUUAUAUCUGGAGUACUUCUCCUGUCUUUGCCAGAGUCCUGUGUGAAUUUAAGUAUGCUCUCUCUAAUUCUCUCUUUCUUUCUUUCUUUCUUUCUUUCUUUCUUUCUUUCUUUCUUUCUUUCUUUCUUUCUUUCUUUCUUUCUUUCUUUCUUUCUUUCUUUCUUUCUUUCUCUCUCUCUCUCUCGGAGGACCUGAGCCCUAGGACCAUGCCUCAGGACUACCUGGCAUGAUGACUCCUUGCUGUCCCCAGUCCACCUUGUCAUGCUGCUGCUCCAGUUUCAACUGUUCUGCCUGCGGCUUUGGAACCCUGACCUGUUCACCGGACGUGCCACCUGUCCCAGACCUGCUGGUUUCAACUCUCUAGAGACAGCAGGAGCGAUAGAGAUACUCUUAAUGAUCAGCUAUGAAAAGCCAACUGACAUUUACUCCUGAGGUGCUGACUUGUUGCACCCUCGACAACUACUGUGAUUACUAUUAUUUGACCAUGCUGGUAAUUUAUGAACAUUUGAACAUCUUGGCCAUGUUCUGUUAUAAUCUCCACCCGGCACAUCCAGAAGAGGACUGGCCACCCCUCAUAGCCUGGUUCCUCUAGGUUUCUUCCUAGGUUUUGGCCUUUCUAGGGAGUUUUUCCUAGCCACCGUGCUUCUACACCUGCAUUGCUUGCUGCUUGGGGUUUUAGGCUGAAUUUCUGUACAGCACUUUGAGAUAUCAGCUGAUGUAAGAAGGGCUAUAUAAAUACAUUUGAUUUUAUUUUAAUUACCUGUUUCACUGCCAUACAAGGCUCCACUGAUAGCCAGGUGUAGCAGUGGUAAGGUGCUGGGACAGCUUUAUGUAGGCCCUAACAGUUUGUGGGCACCGUUUUUCACCGUUAUAGUCCAGUUAAUGUAUAUCCCCCCAUUAUUUGAGUUUGCCUCACCAAGAUAAUCAUGCUAAAAUCGCCACUGAUUGUCUAUCAACAAUAACAAGCCACCUGGGUCUGACAACCUAGAUGGAAAAUUACUGAGGAUAAUAGCGAAUAGGAGUGGCAAUAUCGUCCGCUAUUAUCCUCAGUAAUUUUCCAUCCAAGUUGUCAGACCUUGGUGGCUUGUCAUUGUUUGUCUUCAAUCUAAGCCAAAAAAGUGUGUGCCCUCAGUCCUGCAGGGAAGAAAAAGUAAUUUAACUACUCACUACCCCAAGAAUAGUACAGCCCCCUUUACUGGCUCAAAUAGCCUACCAAUCAGGCUGUAACCAACCCUUAGUAAACUUUUUGAAAAAAUUGUGUUUGACCAGAUACAUUAUUUUUUUUACAGUAAACAAAUUGACAACAGACUUUCAGCAUGCUGAUAAGGAAGCUCAUUCAACAUGUAUGGCACUUACACAAAUUACUGAUGAUCAGAUGAGAGAAAUUGAUCAUAAAAAUAUUGUAGGAGCUGUUUUGUUAGACUUCAGUACGGUUUUUGACAUUAUCGAGCAUAGUCUGCUGCUGGAUAAACGUAUGUUUUAUGGCUUUACACCCCCUGCUAUAUUGUGGAUAAAGAGUUACCUGUCCAACAGAAUAAAGAGGGUGUUCUUUAAUGGAAGCCUCUCAAGCAUAAUUCAGGGCAGCUGUCUAGGCCCCUUACUUUUUUCAGUCUUUACUAUUGACAUGUCUCUGGCCGGUGUGUAUGUACGCAGAUGACUCAAGACUUUACACGUCAGCUACAACAGCGAAUUAAAUUACUGCAACACGUAACAAAGAGCUGCAGUCAUUUUCAGAAUGGUUAUCAAGUAAUAUAGUAAGUAUGUACUAAAUAUUUCCAAAACUAAAAGCAUUGUAUUUAGGACAAGUCAUUCACUAAUCCCUAAACCUCAAGUAAAUAUUGUAAUGAAUAAUGUGGAAAUUGAGCAAGUUGAGGUGACUAAACUGCUUUGAGUAACCAUGGAUUGUAAACUGUCAUGGUCAAAACAUGUUGAUGCAACAGUAGCUAAGAUGGAGAGAAGUCUGUCCAUAAUAAAGCGCUGCUCUGACUUAACAACACAGAGAGAGAUUUAGGAAAAUUACAAUUGGCUUAGAACAGGGCAGCACAGCUGGUCCUUAUUAAAUGUAAACGGAGAGCUAACAUUAAUAAUAUGUUAGCUGCACGUCAGUCUCUCAUGGCUCAAAGUAGAGGAGAGAUUGACUUCAUCACUACGUCUUUUGUAAGAAGUAUUGACAUGCUGGCCUUAUGGCUUGGGGAUAGAAGCUGUUAAGGAGCCUUUUGGACCUAGACUUGGCUCUCCUGUACCACUUGCAGUGCGGUAGCAGAGAGGACAGUCAAUGACUUUGGUGACUGGAGUCUUUUACCAUUGUCUGGGCCUUCCUCUGACACCGUCUAGUAUAUAGGUCCUGGAUGGCAGGAAACUUGGCCUAAGUGAUGUACUGGCCAUACGCACUACCCUCUGUCGGAUGCUGAGCAGUUGCCAGAACAGGCGGUGAUGUAACCGGUCAGGAUGCUCUCGAUGGUGCAGCUGUAUAACAUUUUGAGGAUCUGGGGACCCAUACCAAAUCUUUUCAGUCUCCUGUACAGAACAUUUUCUGCUGUUCAAUCACACGUAUUCUGCGUAUUCUGCUGUUCAAUCACGCGUAUUCUGCGUAUUCUGCUGUUCAAUCACACGUAUUCUGCUGUUCAAUCACGCGUAUUCUGCAUAUUCUGCUGUUCAAUCAGUAUUCUGCUGUUCAAUCACGCGUAUUCUGCGUAUUCUGCUGUUCAAUCACGCGUAUUCUGCGUAUUCUGCUGUUCAAUCACGCGUAUUCUGCGUAUUCUGCUGUUCAAUCACGUGUAUUCUGCGUAUUCUGCUGUUCAAUCACGCGGAUUCUGCGUAUUCUGCUGUUCCACUGAUUAAGGAUUCCAGCUUUAAAAGUAGACUCAGUGAUUUAAACGUAAACAGUAUAGUGGGUUAAUUUCCACAACAACUAAGAGCGUUGAAGCGUGAGGCUCAACUUCUCUGCUGUUUCGGUGUCGUGGAUACCAAUCUGUGAACAGCAUGAAGCGAACCCGUGCCCAUGGGCAGAUACUGUGUGUGACUGUGUGAGAGUGAAGUCUUGCAUCUCGCUCAUCUCAAUAUCUGCGGUGCUGCUCAUGGCAAACUCAUUUAGCUGAGUCUACAUUUUAAUAUUCAUAUGUAUUUCAUUUCUAUCUGGAAAUUAUAUUGCCUUUGAUAAUUGUCCACCGAUGACCAUAAUAUGUUGUGAGUAGCCACUCCCUCACCAGUCAUGGUUGAAAUACUGUUUGUUCUGUAGUUUGUUCCCAUGACAAGCCAUGCUGUUUUUUCAAUCAUUGCAUUACUCCUGGACAAAAGAUAGACAUGCUGAAAAGUUGUAAAUAUUUUGUUCCAUUGGACAUUCCACCCCAAUGAAGGCAUUUUAAUUACAAGAAGAGUGUCUUGGUCCUCCUUGCUUUUUGACGCCCACACUAAAUAAUUAAAGAGGUGCUUAUGAACGGAAAAGUUACAAAAACUUAUGAAAAAUAAAGAAAGCUGCACACUA
Oncorhynchus nerka (sockeye salmon) is the source of this 4022-nucleotide long non-coding RNA. RefSeq lists it as uncharacterized. The record is from RefSeq and is a predicted model, not a curated record. NCBI's taxonomy places the organism in Eukaryota, Metazoa, Chordata, Actinopteri, Salmoniformes, Salmonidae. The transcript is spliced from 3 exons.